Molecule: ribosomal RNA, 253 nt
Filed under: uncultured bacterium
Lineage: Bacteria
Description: partial 16S ribosomal RNA
Rfam family: Bacterial small subunit ribosomal RNA
Source: RNAcentral
AACGUAGGAGACGAACGUUAUCCGGAGUUACUGGGCGUAAAGGGCGUGUAGGCGGUUUGUUAAGUCUGGCGUGAAAGCUCUCGGCUAAACCGGGAGAGGUCGUUGGAUACUGGCGAACUAGAGGAUGGUAGAGGCGUGUGGAAUUCCGGGUGUAGUGGUGAAAUGCGUAGAGAUCCGGAGGAACACCAGUGGCGAAGGCGACACGCUGGGCCAUACCUGACGCUAAAGCGCGACAGCAUGGGGAGCAAACGGG